RNAcentral lists this long non-coding RNA (346 nucleotides) under Hordeum vulgare. RNAcentral describes it as "long non-coding RNA (HVUL_LNC012095)". Lineage: Eukaryota; Viridiplantae; Streptophyta; Magnoliopsida; Poales; Poaceae. The record is from RNAcentral.
UUCUACUCUUCUCCUCUUCUUGGAGCUAAAUUAUCUAAUUAUGUCUUUUUGGAGCUAUAUGGGCUAAUUAUGUCAUUUUAGAGGAAAACAAGCUAAGAAUAUAAUAUUAAUGAGCUAACCAAGGUUUUUAUGCCAUUUUGAGCAUAUUAUGUCAUUUUGGAGCUAAAUGGGCUAAUUAUGUCAUUUUUCGGGAAAAUAAGGUCAGUACAAUAAUAAAGAGCAGAAGAAAGAGGAGAAGGAUAAGAAGAAGAAGAAGAAAUCGAGAAUAAGGAGAAGAAGAAGAAGAAGAAGAAGAAGAAGGAGGAGAAGGAGAAGAAGAAGAAGGAGGAGAAGGAGAAGGAGAAGG